GCAGUUUUCCGACCUCCCAUCUCGAUUUGUUUGGCUCUCAUGUCAGGGAGCAGUGGACGAUAGUGGAUGCCUCGUCCUCUGAUCCAGCAAACUUAUUUUAAAGGGAAAAGCAGCAUCUCGUUUGCCACCUACCGUUCGGUGCGCUUUCUUGCGUUUGUGCCCCGAGAAUUCGCGACGCCGGAGGACCGGAUCCUUAUCCACCCAUGGCGACCCCGACCGUCGUCUUGCUGCCCCUGUGGAGCGCCGGCCACCUCAUGUCCCUGCUCGAGGCCGGCAAGCGUCUGCUCGACCGCGCCGGCGGCAGGCUCUCGCUCACCGUGCUCGUCAUCCCCCCGCCCACGGAGCAGCUCGCGGCCGAGGUCGAGGGCCACAUCCGCCGGGAGGAGGCCUCCGGCCUUGACGUCCGCUUCGUCCGCCUCCCCGCCGUGGAGCCCCCGACGGAUUUCCGCGGCAUCGAGGAGUUCCUCUCCCGGCUCGUGCAGAUGCACGCGCCCGACGUCAGGGCGGCGGUCGCCGCCCUCCCGUGCCCCGUGGCCGCGCUCGUUCUCGACUUCUUCUGCACCACGCUGAUUGACGUGGCCCGCGACCUCGCCGUGCCGGCCUACGUCUACUUCACCACCAACGCCGCGAUGCUGGCGCUCAUGCUGCGCCUCCCGGCGCUCCACGAGGAGGUGACGGUCGAGUUCGAGGAGGUGGAGGGCGACGUGGACGUGCCCGGGCUGCCGCCGGUGCCGCCGUCCUCGUUCCCGAUGCCGGUGAUGGACAAGAAGAACCCGAACUACACGUGGUUCGUGUACCACGGCAGGCGCUUCGCGGAGGCCGACGGCAUCAUCGUCAACACGGCCGCCGAGCUUGAGCGGAGCGCGCUUGCUGCCAUCGCCGACGGACGGUGCACGCCCGGAGUCCGUCCCCCGACGGUGUAUCCGAUCGGCCCGGUGAUCUCGUUCGCGCCGCCCUCCGAGCAGCCGCAAGAGUGCGUGCGGUGGCUCGACGCACAGCCCAAGGCCUCCGUGGUGCUCCUCUGCUUCGGGAGCGGAGGAUUCUUCACCGCGCCGCGGGCGCACGAGAUUGCCCACGGCCUGGAGCGCAGCGGUCACCGCUUCCUCUGGGUGCUGCGCGGCCCACCGGAACCAGGCGCGCGGCACCCAACGGACGCGAACCUCGCCGAGCUUCUCCCAGAUGGCUUCCUCGAGAGUACGAAGGGCAGGGGCCUGGUGUGGCCGACGUGGGCGCCGCAGAAGGAGAUCCUGGGCCACGCCGCCGUUGGGGGUUUCGUGACGCACGGCGGCUGGAACUCGGUGCUGGAGAGCCUGUGGCACGGCGUGCCGUUGGCGCCGUGGCCGCUGUACGCCGAGCAGCACACGAACGCGUUCACACUGGUGGCCGCCAUGGGCGUCGCCGUGGCGAUGAAGGUGGACAGGAAGCGGGACAACUUCGUGGAGGCCGCGGAGCUGGAGCGAGCGGUGAAGGAGCUGAUGGGCGGCGGCGAGGAGGGGAGGAAGGCGAGGGAGAAGGCCAUGGAGAUGAAGGCCGCGUGCAGGAACGCCGUGCAGGAGGGCGGCUCGUCCGACGCGGCGCUGCGCAGGCUAGCCGAGCAGCUGGUCAGCACGAGCCCUAAACCGUCGCGUGCCGUCCCCGCCCCGCCGCCGUCCCGCCAUCCCGCCGCCGUGAGGUGCCCCUGUUUGCCGGCGCGAGGGGUCCACGUCCGCCCGCGCGAGGAGGCGGGGCCCUUGUGGUGACGACGGCGAGCAGGAGGACGGGCAUGCCUCACGCCCCCACCCCCCUCCUCCGCUGCGACACCAGGGCGCUCCUCCGCCGCGACGCCGGGGCGCGAUCAGCGGGAGGGACUCCUGCGCCGCCACCGCCACCACGACGGUGCCCACUCCUCGCCGCUGCACCUCCUCCACGCCGCCGUGGACCUCGCGCCGCCGCUCCUCCACGCCGCCGUUGCACCCCCGCCCUCCUCCGCUGCUCCGCCCCUCCUCCCCUUCCUCGCUCGAUCUGGCUCCUGGGACGGUAGCAUCCACCGCGAGAAGCUCCAGUCGCCGGCGAGAAUGCGAGGGUUGGCCGUCCGCUGCCGCCCUCCGCUGCGAGGUGCCCUUGUCCGCCCGCACGAGGAGGCGAGUCGCCCGGUGCUCAGUUCCCCUCCUCCUCGCCACGCUUCGCCCUCGCCCUCCGCGCCAGCCUUCACCGAGGGCAUCAAGCAGCCGCGGUCGGGCCCGGAUGCGUCGCCGCUCGAGAUCAACGAGCGCGAUGUGGUGUGGACGGCAAGCGGCUGCCAGGAGCCGUCCGCCGAUGCUCGAGAUGCUGCCGCCGUGCAAGAGACGCCGGCACACCAUGCUGCAGAGCUUCGGGCUGUCGUCCCUCCUCGCCGAGGGCGGCGGCGAACAGCGUGCAGGGUGAGGCCAUGCCGAUGAGGGCAGUGGCGCCAGGAGCAGGCAUCCUGUCCUCUCUUCCUCCACUCAGAACAAAUAUCAGGAGGUCAAGAACCCUCUGCAAAAUUCAGUUCAAUGGUCAUAUUCUGUACUGGGCUUGCUUAUUAAUGCCAGGCAUCGAGCACCUUUGGCUUGUCCUGCAAAGGUUGCAGAUCCGAAGCUGAAGGUAGAAGAGGGACAUGUGCUUCUCCAAAAGCUGAAGAGGGACAGGUGCUGAAUACAAAUGUGCCCCGGACAGUGGAAGCAAAGUGGUGCUGUUCAUCAACAGCAUGUUUGGUGAGGAAUAAACCAAAAGUCCAAUGGUACCAGCCUAGCAUAUCAAUAUGGUAUUAAUUGAAAUGCACUGUAAUAAAAGAGUUAGCAGAUUUGUAGGUCUAGAAAUGCAUUUUCGGAGUCGAUGGACCUAAAUGACACACUCUUACAGGUUUGUGCAUUAAGAAAUGUAUUUUAGGA
This is an RNA transcript of Panicum hallii, 2888 nucleotides long. It is a transcript of the gene named UDP-glycosyltransferase 71K1-like, with no coding region annotated. The record is from RefSeq and is a predicted model, not a curated record. NCBI's taxonomy places the organism in Eukaryota, Viridiplantae, Streptophyta, Magnoliopsida, Poales, Poaceae. The transcript is spliced from 3 exons.